This 72-nucleotide transfer RNA is filed under the name Ovis aries (sheep). It matches the Rfam family "tRNA". From Rfam's summary of the family: Transfer RNA (tRNA) molecules are approximately 80 nucleotides in length. Their secondary structure includes four short double-helical elements and three loops (D, anti-codon, and T loops). The record is from Rfam by way of RNAcentral. Lineage: Eukaryota; Metazoa; Chordata; Mammalia; Artiodactyla; Bovidae.
UCCCUGCUGGCUCAGAGGCUAAAGCAUCUGCCUCCGACAUGGGAGACCCAGGUUCGAUCCCUGGGUCGGGAA